This 477-nucleotide ribosomal RNA is filed under the name uncultured anaerobic ammonium-oxidizing bacterium. Its description in RNAcentral is "bacterial SSU rRNA". It matches the Rfam family "Bacterial small subunit ribosomal RNA", at positions 365 to 832 of the family's 1533-position model. The record is from RNAcentral.
UUCGCAAUGCCCGAAAGGGUGACGAAGCGACGCCGCGUGUGGGAAGAAGGCCUUCGGGUUGUAAACCACUGUUGGGAGUUAGGAAGUGUGGAGGUGUUAAUAGCGCUUUCACUUGACUAAAGCUCCAGAGGAAGCCACGGCUAACUCUGUGCCAGCAGCCGCGGUAAUACAGAGGCGGCAAGCGUUAUUCGGAAUUAUUGGGCGUAAAGAGCACGUAGGCGGCUCUGCAAGUCAGCUGUGAAAGCCUUCUGCUUAACGGAAGAACGGCAGUUGAAACUACAGGGCUUGAGUGCGGGAGGGGAGAGUGGAACUUCUGGUGGAGCGGUGAAAUGCGUAGAUAUCAGAAGGAACGCCGGCGGCGAAAGCGGCUCUCUGGUCCGUAACUGACGCUGAGUGUGCGAAAGCUAGGGGAGCAAACGGGAUUAGAUACCCCGGUAGUCCUAGCCGUAAACGAUGGGCACUAAGUAGAGGGGUUUU